ACGUAGGAGGCAAACGUUAUCCGGAUUUACUGGGCGUAAAGCGCGUGUAGGUGGUUCUGUAAGUAGGGCGUGAAAGCUCCCGGCUCAACUGGGAGAGGCCGUUCUAAACUGCAGAACUAGAGGAUGGUAGAGGGAGGUGGAAUUUCAGGUGUAGCGGUUGAAUGCGCAGAUAUCGGAAGGAAUAACAGUGGCGAAAGCGGCCUCCGGGACCAUUCUUCAGCCUCAGGCGCGAAAGCUAGUGUAGCAAACGG
RNAcentral lists this ribosomal RNA (251 nucleotides) under uncultured prokaryote. RNAcentral's name for it is "partial 16S rRNA". It matches the Rfam family "Bacterial small subunit ribosomal RNA", at positions 525 to 775 of the family's 1533-position model. The record is from RNAcentral.